UCUGUAACACCUGUGUUGAAUGGUAACAGAUAGACAAUUAUCAAUGGUUUCGCGUUACAAGUGAUUAAAAUUUACACCGCACUCUGUCAACUCCUUAUUAAAUAGAAAUAAAUUUGUGACGACUUCCUAAAGUGGUCUGAUUGGAGUCAACUCACCUAAAACCGGGGAAUAGGCGCCAGAAGAGUCAGUGCAUGGGUGCAUAGUGCAAGGACAACCGAAUCAAAACAACGCACCAUCCUGCGAUGUUAUCGAAAAAGCUCCCCGGAAGGGUUGGAACGUGCUUUGGCGGCUAACAUAAACCGGAAACGAGUCCGUCGAGUUCACAAAAUUAAAUAAAGCAACAAAAGUGCGUGCGUACAACUAGUCUACUGCGAUUAGGUCGACGGACUCGCGGCCAACUUGAUGGUGGCUUCGCCACUGCGCUGCGCAUUUGUCCCGGAUUCCCCGCUCUCUUGGUGAUUACGGACAAUUUUCGCCAAUUCCGGGUCUCAUAGAUUAUGUAAGAGGGAUGAAACGCACACGUGGGCGACCAAGUGAUCGAUCAAAUUUUGAAUUUGGAAAAAGGUAAGUAAAAUGUGGCAUGACCCAGUUUCUAAUAGCAACUACAGACGGCUUCAAUCAAAUUUAAAAGCUCACUCAGACAACAUUUAAACAGCAAGAGCACGACUUACAAUUUUAACUUUACAUUUGAUGGCUUUCUGGUGUCUGUCAUCAUUUAUACUUUCUUCGUUUAUUUUGGGCAGUUUGUUCAUUUUUUAGUUGGUUCAUUCUAAUUGUUGACUACUUGUGCAUGAUGAUAGAAGAAUGCACUUAUACUAACAUCUGAAAUCGUUAUGCGCGAAGACAUUCGAUAUCAACCCAUCAAUUCAAUUACCGACGUCGUUCAUCUCAAAGCUCAACUAAUUCAACUUGCAGCUUGUUUCAGAUUUUUAUCUAGGUCACACAAGCGGCCAGAAGAAGCUUUGAGGCAUCUUUUGAUUUUUAGUCACGUAUUACACGCCCCAGUCGCUUACGCAUACUGAAGGGUGGCUAUUUUUGUCCCUCGGAACCCUACAUCCGUAGCGCAUUAUUUCACAUCAAGUGUUCCGAAUGGUGCCCUAAUCAUUUCAGAAAAAAACAAAAAUACCAAUUUUGAAAAAAAUCAAAUGAUCGUAAUGAGGUAAACCUGGGGGUCGUUCAUCCCCUCCAAACACCUGUUUCUGCAACCGAACAAAGAAGCAUCGGGACGCCACCAACGCCGAUCGAAGUCCACUACUACCCUUAUGGAAAAAGUUCGAUCCAAAACAAGUUUUAGAGGGAAAUUGUUGCAACUAUUUUUGCGUUUUUUGAACUUACCUAAUCUCCAUAUUUCCACCCUUCAAAGCAAUCUUGUGUCCAUCGACUAUGAAAUCACCAUUUAAUUAAUUGCGAUAUGUAUCUUUGAUUUAUUAUUAUUAUUGUUUACUUUUA
Tribolium castaneum (red flour beetle) is the source of this 1449-nucleotide long non-coding RNA. RefSeq lists it as uncharacterized. Lineage: Eukaryota; Metazoa; Arthropoda; Insecta; Coleoptera; Tenebrionidae. The transcript has 2 exons. The record is from RefSeq and is a predicted model, not a curated record.